Podarcis lilfordi (Lilford's wall lizard) is the source of this 74-nucleotide non-coding RNA. The record is from the annotation of a GenBank genome assembly. NCBI's taxonomy places the organism in Eukaryota, Metazoa, Chordata, Lepidosauria, Squamata, Lacertidae.
GCUGAAAAUAGCUCAGUCAGUAGAGCAUAAGAUUCUCAAUCUCAUGGUUGUGGGUUUGAACCCCACCUUGGGCA